CAGUAGCCACGGUAAUACGGAGGGGGCUAGCGUUGUUCGGAAUUACUGGGCGUAAAGCGCACGUAGGCGGCUUGGUAAGUUAGAGGUGAAAGCCUGGAGCUCAACUCCAGAAUUGCCUUUAAGACUGCCGAGCUAGCAGGUGAGAGAGGUAAGUGGAAUUCCGAGUGUAGAGGUGAAAUUCGUAGAUAUUCGGAAGAACAUCAGUGGCGAAGGCGGCCACCUGGGACAACACUGACGCUGAGGCACGAAAGCGUGGGGAGCAAACAGGAUUAGAUACCCGCGUAGUCCCUGUCUCUUAUAC
RNAcentral lists this ribosomal RNA (301 nucleotides) under uncultured bacterium. RNAcentral describes it as "partial 16S ribosomal RNA". It matches the Rfam family "Bacterial small subunit ribosomal RNA", at positions 509 to 807 of the family's 1533-position model. The record is from RNAcentral.